AAUACAUGGAUGGAAUUUAACCAACUACAAUCUACUUAUCAAGAAGACCCCUCUUCACGAGACAUGUCU
RNAcentral lists this transfer RNA (69 nucleotides) under Ophiarachnella infernalis. Its description in RNAcentral is "tRNA-Ile". Lineage: Eukaryota; Metazoa; Echinodermata; Ophiuroidea; Amphilepidida; Ophiodermatidae. The record is from RNAcentral.